GCUUUCGUGGUGUAGUGAUCAGCAGACUUGGCGCGUAUUCGAGAGGUCCGGGGUUCGAAUCCCGGCGAGAGCA
Molecule: transfer RNA, 73 nt
Filed under: Stegodyphus mimosarum
Lineage: Eukaryota; Metazoa; Arthropoda; Arachnida; Araneae; Eresidae
Rfam family: tRNA
About the family: Transfer RNA (tRNA) molecules are approximately 80 nucleotides in length. Their secondary structure includes four short double-helical elements and three loops (D, anti-codon, and T loops). Further hydrogen bonds mediate the characteristic L-shaped molecular structure. tRNAs have two regions of fundamental functional importance: the anti-codon, which is responsible for specific mRNA codon recognition, and the 3' end, to which the tRNAs corresponding amino acid is attached (by aminoacyl-tRNA synthetases). tRNAs cope with the degeneracy of the genetic code in two manners: having more than one tRNA (with a specific anti-codon) for a particular amino acid; and 'wobble' base-pairing, i.e. permitting non-standard base-pairing at the 3rd anti-codon position.
Source: Rfam by way of RNAcentral